This 269-nucleotide ribosomal RNA is filed under the name uncultured bacterium. RNAcentral's name for it is "partial 16S ribosomal RNA". It matches the Rfam family "Bacterial small subunit ribosomal RNA", at positions 524 to 776 of the family's 1533-position model. The record is from RNAcentral.
UACGGAGGGUGCGAGCGUUGUCCGGAAUCACUGGGCGUAAAGGGCGCGUAGGCGGCGCGGGAAGUCCGUGGUGAAAGCCCGAGGCUCAACUUCGGGUCGGCCAUGGAUACUCCUGGGCUUGAGCACUGUAGAGGCAGGUGGAAUUCCGGGUGUAGCGGUGGAAUGCGUAGAGAUCCGGAAGAACACCGGUGGCGAAGGCGGCCUGCUGGGCAGUAGCCGCAAGGCUUGAAAGCUGACGCUGAGGCGCGACAGCGUGGGGAGCAAACAGG